UGCAGUCGAGCGAGCUUUCGGGCUUAGCGGCGGACGGGUGAGUAACGCGUGGGAACGUGCCCUUUGGUACGGAAUAGUCCUGGGAAACUGGGUUUAAUACCGUAUAUUCUCUACGGAGGAAAGAUUUAUCGCCAAAGGAUCGGCCCGCGUUGGAUUAGGUAGUUGGUGGGGUAAUGGCCUACCAAGCCGACGAUCCAUAGCUGGUUUGAGAGGAUGAUCAGCCACACUGGGACUGAGACACGGCCCAGACUCCUACGGGAGGCAGCAGUGGGGAAUCUUAGACAAUGGGGGCAACCCUGAUCUAGCCAUGCCGCGUGAUCGAUGAAGGCCUUAGGGUUGUAAAGAUCUUUCGCUGGGGAAGAUAAUGACGGUACCCAGUAAAGAAGCCCCGGCUAACUCCGUGCCAGCAGCCGCGGUAAUACGGAGGGGGCUAGCGUUGUUCGGAAUUACUGGGCGUAAAGCGCGCGUAGGCGGAUUGGAAAGUUGGGGGUGAAAUCCCGGGGCUCAACCCCGGAACUGCCUCCAAAACUAUCAGUCUGGAGUUCGAGAGAGGUGAGUGGAAUUGCGAGUGUAGAGGUGAAAUUCGUAGAUAUUCGCAGGAACACCAGUGGCGAAGGCGGCUCACUGGCUCGAUACUGA
Molecule: ribosomal RNA, 639 nt
Filed under: bacterium SL3.19
Lineage: Bacteria
Description: bacterial SSU rRNA
Rfam family: Bacterial small subunit ribosomal RNA
Source: RNAcentral